Molecule: ribosomal RNA, 778 nt
Filed under: uncultured archaeon
Lineage: Archaea
Description: bacterial SSU rRNA
Rfam family: Archaeal small subunit ribosomal RNA
Source: RNAcentral
AUCCAUUAGCUUAACUGAUGGGCCGCCGGAAAAACUGCAAAGCUAGGGAGUGGGAGAGGUAGACGGUACUCGGUAGGAAGGGGUAAAAUCCUUUGAUCUAUUGAUGACCACCUGUGGCGAAGGCGGUCUACCAGAACACGUUCGACGGUGAGGGAUGAAAGCUGGGGGAGCAAACCGGAUUAGAUACCCGGGUAGUCCCAGCUGUAAACGAUGCAGACUCGGUGAUGCCCUGGCUUGUGGCCAGUGCAGUGCCGCAGGGAAGCCGUUAAGUUUGCCGCCUGGGAAGUACGUACGCAAGUAUGAAACUUAAAGGAAUUGGCGGGGGAGCACCACAAGGGGUGAAGCCUGCGGUUCAAUUGGAGUCAACGCCAGAAAUCUUACCCGAAGAGACAGCAGAAUGAAGGUCAAGCUGGAGACUUUACCAGACAAGCUGAGAAGUGGUGCAUGGCCGUCGCCAGCUCGUGCCGUGAGAUGUCCUGUUAAGUCAGGUAACGAGCGAGAUCCCUGCCUCUAGUUGCCACCAUUACUCUCAGGAGUAGUGGGGCGAAUUAGCGGGACCGCCACAGUUAAUGUGGAGGAAGGAAGGGGCCACGGCAGGUCAGUAUGCCCUGAAACUUUGGGGCCACACGCGGGCUGCAAUGAUAGUGACAGUGAGUUCCUAAACCGAAAGGUGGAGGCAAUCUUCAAACGCUAUCACAGUUAUGAUUGAGGGCUGCAACUCGCCCUCAUGAAUAUGGAAUCCCUAGUAACUGCGUGUCAUUACCGCGCGGUGAAUACG